UACGUAGGGACCAAGCGUUGUUCGGAUUUACUGGGCGUAAAGGGCGCGUAGGCGGCAAUUCAAGUCAUCUGUGAAAUCUCCGGGCUUAACCCGGAACGGUCAGGUGAUACUGUUUUGCUAGAGUGCGGAAGGGGCAAUCGGAAUUCUCGGUGUAGCGGUGAAGUGCGUAGAUAUCGAGAGGAACACCAGAGGUGAAGACGGGUUGCUGGGCCGACACUGACGCUGACAGCGCGAAAGCCAGGGGAGCAAACGGG
RNAcentral lists this ribosomal RNA (254 nucleotides) under uncultured bacterium. RNAcentral describes it as "partial 16S ribosomal RNA". It matches the Rfam family "Bacterial small subunit ribosomal RNA", at positions 524 to 776 of the family's 1533-position model. The record is from RNAcentral.